Molecule: ribosomal RNA, 503 nt
Filed under: uncultured bacterium
Lineage: Bacteria
Description: partial 16S ribosomal RNA
Rfam family: Bacterial small subunit ribosomal RNA
Source: RNAcentral
AACGAACGCUGGCGGCGUGCCUAACACAUGCAAGUCGAACGAGAAAGGGGCUUCGGCUCCGUGUAAAGUGGCGCACGGGUGAGUAACACGUGGGUAACCUGCCUCUAAGAUUGGGAUAACUCGUCGAAAGAUGAGCUAAUACCGAAUAAGACCACAGUUCCCGCGGGAACAGGGGUCAAAGGUAGCCUCUGCUUGCAAGCUAUCACUUAGAGAUGGGCCUGCGGACCAUUAGCUAGUUGGUAGGGUAACGGCCUACCAAGGGAAAGAUGGUUAGCUGGUCUGAGGGGAUGGUCAGCCACACUGGAACUGAGACACGGGCCAGACUCCUAAGGGAGGCAGCAGUGGGGAAUAUUGCGCAAUGGGCGAAAGCUUGACGCAGCAAAGCCGCGUGAGGGAUGAAGGCCUUCGGGUCGUAAAGCUCUGUCGGGAGGGACGAAAGCUCCUGAGGUUAACAGCCUCGGGAGGUGACGGUACCUACAAAGGAAGCACCGGCUAACUCUGUG